Molecule: ribosomal RNA, 97 nt
Filed under: Merismopedia sp. SIO2A8
Lineage: Bacteria; Bacillati; Cyanobacteriota; Cyanophyceae; Synechococcales; Merismopediaceae
Description: partial 16S ribosomal RNA
Source: RNAcentral
UCGAAUCCGUCAACUUGGAAUCGGUAGUAAUCGUAGGCUCUGCAAGGCUUUUUGAAUGUCUGCCACUGGUUUGUACACACCGCCCAUCACACUGUCC